Molecule: long non-coding RNA, 2720 nt
Organism: Carya illinoinensis
Lineage: Eukaryota; Viridiplantae; Streptophyta; Magnoliopsida; Fagales; Juglandaceae
Exons: 5
Source: RefSeq, a predicted model, not a curated record
UUCAGUAACCCUCUCUCUCUCUACUCUCUCAGAUGAACGACGCUGCCGGAGGGGAACCGAGAACCGACCGUAAACCGCCAGAGAACUGCCGGAGUCAAUACGGCCGGUUGCCCUCCCUCCCGUCGACCGGUUACGGUCGGUCCGUCCACCGUUUUCCCCCUCAUCGGUCGGCGGCGGUUCUGCCCAAAAACCGCGCCGAAGGGGUCGGUUUUCACCCCUAGGCGAAAGGUCACGAUUUCUUAUUCUUCUCCCCCGUAGUUUCGUUGUCUUUUGUCGCAUGUCUCUGUUCUCAUUCUCUCCCUCCUCAAAUCUCUCUCUCUCUCUCUCUCUCCCCCCCUAGGGCUCCGUCGCCGCAGCCACCGUUCGAAUCCCAACGCCACUCGCACCAUCGCAAAAUCCCUUGCGCCGAACGCCUCUCUUUUGGUCCCGGAGCCCGAAGCCCGUGAGUUCAAAACCAUAGCCUCAGCCGCCGCUCCCACCGUUCUCCUCCCUGUUCGCUGCUGCUAUAGGGAGAUCCUUUGCCCUCCCUCAUUUUCCCCUGCCCCGGACACGCUCCUUAGCCCUCUCUCCCUCUCGGUGAGUCACUGCCGUGAUCCCCCAGCUGCGCCAACCACCGCCAGCACCUUAACCGUCCACACAACCACCUCUCUCUCGAUGCGUAUGCAUGCAUGCUGGAUGGCAUGGGUAUUGAUCAUUUGUUCUAUAUUUUGGUAUGGGUAGCAUGUGUAGCUCACCUUUCUGGAACUCGUUCUCGAAUACUGGUGGAGCUUUUCACAAGAGAAAUUUCUUGCUGGUUGUUGCUACCAGGAUGAUGAGUCUGUGUAAGCUUUUAUGAAGUUUUCACUUUUGGAUAAUUGUCGUGAUGCUAAAUCUGAUGAUCUGAUUUAGUUGAACCUUUAACUAGGAUCAUUACAGUCUAAGUCCCAAGCUUUAUUGGUAUCACACUUACAGCUUUUCUUGAAUAAGAUUAUUAACUUAUUAUACAAAACAUAAAUUCCCAUAGUGCUGUAAUGAUUGUCUUUACUUUUACCUUGAGAGUUCUGUUUUCAUUUAUGAACUUGCUAUGUUGUUGUGUGAUGUUAUGUUUUCAUUUUUUCUCGUGUAUUGAUUUUGUAUUGAAUUAGAGAUUUUUAUUAUCGUGGGAUUACUGUGAUUGGCUAGUAGUCUUGCGUUUCUUGACCUAGUGAUUGUUGGGUUCGUAAUGGUUUUUGCCAUUUGGUUUUAGGGACAUUGAAAUUAUUGUUAUAUUCAAGCAUUCUAUUUUUUUAAUUUGUGUCUUCGUCUUUUAUGAAUAAAUCAACAGUUCACUGCCCAAUAAUUUCAGUCUGGAGUAGGUGGGCACGUGCUUUUCUCAAGGCUUAGAACAAUAUUUUAAUAACAAAAUUAUGCUCAUAAAUUUUAUACUGCCCAAUCAUAUGUAAGGUUUUUACACCAAUCUGUUAUAAAGCAUAUGAUCGAUGGUUAGAAGAGUUUUUCAAAAUACUUGCUGAAAUGCCUUGGAAGUCAUUAUUUAUUGAUGCUGGAAAUACAGACAUAUACAUGAAAUUUGGUCGGAGAUGUGGCUGCUUGUUUAAAUUAUCACCAAACCUGUAAAAAAUAUGGACUUGAAGCUAGAACCAUGAAAUCUCUCUAAGUCUCUGUUGAAGCAAUCUUACCUUAAUAAAUGCUAUUUUAGAGCUUUCAUUGGCCAUUUUUUCAUGUUUUGUCAACGAGAAAAUAUUGGGAGCAGCCACUAUUCACCACUACACACCACACAUCCUAUAAAAAAUAUUUAUAAAUCCCUUUGUCAACCAAGAACCUGAUAUUUUUCCCUUUUAACAAGUCUGGGACUAGUGUUGGUGGUGUCAAAUGGUUUAUAGUUUUUGGUCAGAUCAAAUUGUAUGCCAUGCAUUCUACAGAUAAAAUCAAUAAGACAUAUACAGAUACCCUUUUCUAUGUAUCUGAGUGCAUCUAUAAAGAAUUUGGUUCAUAGAUCCAGCAAGUUGAAAGCCAUAUCUUCAAGAGAAUAGCCAUUUGUUUUUGUUUAUAGUUUCUCAUUUGAAUGACAGAAUAUUAGACUUGUAACAUGGAUUGGUUGUAAUAAGUGUUGGGGCAUGAUUAGCAGCUCUUGGUUAUAGUAAGUGUUGGUUAAUAGCUCUUGAUGGGAAGUGGAGGUUCACAUUAGCAGCUACAGGAUCUCACAAAGAAGUGGUUGGCAGACUAAAGCAUCUUCCUUUCACAAAAGCAUAUUUCAAAAGAACCUUUUCAGAUAUCACAAAAGUAUUUUCCUCUAACAUCUUAAGUGGCCAACAUGCAAUUAUGUCCUUUGUCUGAUGGAUGGAGAUAACAAGGAUCUCAGUUUCGUGCUGUGGCCACUGGUGGAACCUCGUCUAGCUGAUAAAUGGGUGCACUCAGUUCUAUUUUCACGACAACAUAGCACUUGCCUCAUUCCUGGAAGGUGAGAUACCAUGAGUGGCAUUUGUGGAAGGCGUGUUUUUGGAGUUAUUUGCAGAAGAGCCCUGAAGGCUCUCUGUUUGUAUUUUGCUGCUGAAGCCUUGGUCUUUGUAUUUGAGUUAGACUCUGUCUCAACAGCUUUAAACUCUGAGUUGGCACAACUUCUUGGUUAAGUUACACAACUUCUCCAAAAUAUGUAUUUCAAUGUACUUCGAGAACUCAUAAAUAUGUUCAAGAAUUUCUUCCAUCUGGAAUUUGAGAUUUAAUAUAUGGAUUUUGAUUCGCCA